UGGGGAAUAUUGCACAAUGGGCGCAAGCCUGAUGCAGCAACGCCGCGUGAGGGACGACGGCCUUCGGGUUGUAAACCUCUUUUGGCAGGGAAGAAGCGAAAGUGACGGUACCUGCAGAAAAAGCACCGGCUAACUACGUGCCAGCAGCCGCGGUGAUACGUAGGGUGCAAGCGUUGUCCGGAAUUAUUGGGCGUAAAGAGCUCGUAGGCGGUUUGUCGCGUCUGCUGUGAAAACCCGAGGCUCAACCUCGGGCCUGCAGUGGGUACGGGCAAACUAGAGUGCGGUAGGGGAGAUUGGAAUUCCUGGUGUAGCGGUGGAAUGCGCAGAUAUCAGGAGGAACACCGAUGGCGAAGGCAGAGCUCUGGGCCGUAACUGACGCUGAGGAGCGAAAGCA
This 394-nucleotide ribosomal RNA is filed under the name uncultured bacterium. RNAcentral's name for it is "bacterial SSU rRNA". It matches the Rfam family "Bacterial small subunit ribosomal RNA", at positions 355 to 761 of the family's 1533-position model. The record is from RNAcentral.